This 253-nucleotide ribosomal RNA is filed under the name uncultured bacterium. RNAcentral describes it as "partial 16S ribosomal RNA". It matches the Rfam family "Bacterial small subunit ribosomal RNA", at positions 524 to 776 of the family's 1533-position model. The record is from RNAcentral.
UACGUAGGGUGCAAGCGUUGUCCGGAAUUAUUGGGCGUAAAGAGCGUGUAGGCGGCCCGACCAGUCCGCUGUGAAAGUCCAGGGCUCAACCCUGGAAUGCCGGUGGAUACUGUCGGGCUAGAGUCCGGAAUGGGCGAGUGGAAUUCCUGGUGUAGCGGUGAAAUGCGCAGAUAUCAGGAGGAACACCGGUGGCGAAGGCGGGUCUCUGGGCCGUAACUGACGCUGAGGAGCGAAAGCGUGGGGAGCGAACAGG